RNAcentral lists this ribosomal RNA (411 nucleotides) under uncultured eukaryote. RNAcentral describes it as "SSU rRNA". It matches the Rfam family "Eukaryotic small subunit ribosomal RNA", at positions 592 to 997 of the family's 1831-position model. The record is from RNAcentral.
CAAUAGCGUAUAUUAAAGUUGUUGCAGUUAAAAAGCUCGUAGUUGGAUUUCUGGUCUGAUGCCCUGGCCCGCUUCAAUUUCGAAGUGAGUGCCGGCUGUGCGUCUACCAUCCUUCUAGAAAACGUUCCUACCCUUCACUGGGCCGGGUUCGCGAUCUAGAUCUUUUACUUUGAAAAAUUAGAGUGUUUAAAGCAGGCUUUUGCUAUGAAUACAUUAGCAUGGAAUAAUAAUCUAGGACUUCGGUUCUAUUUUGUUGGUUUCUAGUACUGAAGUAAUGAUUGAUAGGGAUAGUUGGGGGUGGCUAGUAUUGGGCGGCCAGAGGUGAAAUUCUUGGAUUCGCUCAAGACUAACUUAUGCGAAAGACAUUUGUCCAAGGAUGUUUUCUAUUAAUCAAGAACGAAAGUUAAGGGG